This 253-nucleotide ribosomal RNA is filed under the name uncultured bacterium. RNAcentral's name for it is "partial 16S ribosomal RNA". It matches the Rfam family "Bacterial small subunit ribosomal RNA", at positions 524 to 776 of the family's 1533-position model. The record is from RNAcentral.
UACGUAGGGUGCGAGCGUUGUCCGGAAUUAUUGGGCGUAAAGAGCUUGUAGGCGGUUUGUCGCGUCUGCUGUGAAAAUCCGGGGCUCAACCCCGGACUUGCAGUUGGUACGGGCAGACUAGAGUGUGGUAGGGGAGACUGGAAUUCCUGGUGUAGCGGUGGAAUGCGCAGAUAUCAGGAGGAACACCGAUGGCGAAGGCAGGUCUCUGGGCAUUAACUGACGCUGAGGAGCGAAAGCAUGGGGAGCGAACAGG